Molecule: small nuclear RNA, 19 nt
Filed under: Arabidopsis thaliana (thale cress)
Lineage: Eukaryota; Viridiplantae; Streptophyta; Magnoliopsida; Brassicales; Brassicaceae
Description: snRNA_06367
Source: RNAcentral
UCUGCGGUGUACCGCGGGU